CCCGCCCCCGCUGCGACCUGGAGAGGCGGCGCUGUAGCGGGGCCCUGCCUCUCCACUGCGAAAUCACCCCCAGCCCAGUGAUGUGGACCAUCUUGGAAAGAUGAGGAGUUCUCCAAAGUUGGCUUUUAUUUAUUUAUUCAUGAGAGAGAGAGAGGCGGAGACACAGGCAGAGGGAGAAGCUCCCCUGCAGAGAGCCGAUGAGGGACUCCAGGACCACUACCUGAGCCGAAGGCAGAUCCUCAACUACUGAGCCACCCCGGCAUCCCAGUCCUUAUUUGUUUCAGUAGCAUGGUGGCCGAUCUCUGUUCCACAUCUGUUCACCCCACCACUCUUCAUGCUAACACAUAUUUCCUGAAAAAGCCCCUUCACCACCCUCCUCUGGUGGUUGGCCCAGGAGGCUGAAGUCCAGCUUGUGUUUUAUGGACCAGAAGACCCUUCACAAAUUCGUCCCUGAUGUAGCUGUUCCCCUUACAUCUCUCUUCCUGCCCUAGUUGGACACCUGACCUUUGUCACACCCGCUUGACACUGGGGGAGUCCCUGGAUGUAGUCAUGAAUGAAGUACGGGCUUUAUUUACACUGUAGAAUGGUACCAUUUACUGAUGGUCUGUUUAAAGAACAGAGCAGAAGGAGGAGCCUGGGCUCCCAGAUGUCUGCUGCUUGCAGAGUAGAGCCUGGAGCCUCUUCUCACUUCCGAGCACUUCGGUUCUUUACUGCCCUCCAUCUGUUCUCUUCCUUCUGCCUGGAGUGUCCUUUCUUCCACUUCUGGUAAAAUCAGGCUUAAUGUUCAAGGUGCCGCUCAAAUGUCAACCAUUUAAAUCUUUUCCUUUUAGACAGUUGGUUUCCUUUCUGGGUCAUCAGAGUGCUCUAUUCAUAGCUCCAUCAGCACUGCUAGAACUUUCCAUGUGUGUGCUGGUCAGCCCCAACAGU
Molecule: long non-coding RNA, 927 nt
Organism: Nyctereutes procyonoides (raccoon dog)
Lineage: Eukaryota; Metazoa; Chordata; Mammalia; Carnivora; Canidae
Exons: 3
Source: RefSeq, a predicted model, not a curated record